Molecule: long non-coding RNA, 1043 nt
Organism: Pezoporus occidentalis (night parrot)
Lineage: Eukaryota; Metazoa; Chordata; Aves; Psittaciformes; Psittacidae
Exons: 3
Source: RefSeq, a predicted model, not a curated record
CUGUGCUGAAACAGGGCAGCGUGGUGGGAUACAGACUUUGGCUGGUGGGGAGUGCUGGAAGUCCCUGUACACCUGUAGCUGUCCUCGUGCAAGAUCUGUUUCAUGGUCCUGGUGUGCUACUUCUUGCCUUGAAAAGAGCUUCUUCAUCUUCUGCAUUCCUCUCCUACAUGUGAAGUCUUCUGCUGCCAAUGAUUUACUGUGUCUCUCCCAUGUCACCCACAUCCCAAGGCACUACAGAAUCAACUUCACCUUGUCAGAAACAGUGCCCAUUGCAAAAGAGCAAAGGAUACAUAGCCGGAUUUGAUCACAGGUUUUAAUAACAAUGCAUUUCACUUUGUAUAUUACAUUAUAAAAUGUACAGUGCUAAGAAUUAUUUAUAGGUGCACUGGGAAGUUUGCCAUCUUUCAUUUCUGAGCUUCAAACGGUUUGCUUGUUCCUUAAGGUCCUUCUGGGCCUACUUGACCGUUUCAUUCUUAACAUCUGACAAAGAGCAGAGGCAAACCACAGGGGGCACAUUCCACUUGCCUGUUACCAAACCACAGGAUAUAAAAAUCUUGUUUACAAGUGAAAUUCUAGAGAUACGUGCUGAUUUUAAAAGGGAUAAUCAUUUCAUCUUCCGCUGCACGCAAGUAUGCUUGGCUAUCUCCACUUUUGGCCUGAAUGCAAAGGCUGUGCUCAGAGCCCCUUCAAUCAGUCCCAACACAGUGUAUCAUUUGAGAAAUAUGGGUUUUCACAGAGAAUCAAUAGCGAAAAUCCCCUGCUGAUGAGAUAAAGAAGGACAAAGGUGAAGUCAGGUUAGAGUUGUGUUGUUCGUUGUGGUUUAUGGCUGAGUGCGUUACAUAAAUCACAUUGGAAAUAAACCCGAUUUUCUUAUCCUGUGGCUCUUUCCAAUCAGAGAUUGUUUAAAACCUGAAAAGAUACUUUUCUUGGAGAAAUAUGCAGCUCUGUCAUGUAUGACUUUGAAGAGGGGAAGAAGGACCUGCAGGGAGUGCUAACCACCAGCACAGAAAGGAUUUUCAAUGGACGCUUUACAUACCGAUCAU